RNAcentral lists this long non-coding RNA (1520 nucleotides) under Daphnia magna. Its description in RNAcentral is "uncharacterized LOC123476859". Lineage: Eukaryota; Metazoa; Arthropoda; Branchiopoda; Diplostraca; Daphniidae. The record is from RNAcentral.
UUUUUAAGUUUUGUUGAAAUCGUGAAACGCAGCAACUCAUGUAUUUUUUCGUCUGCUACGAGUGACUUGUGUAGUUCUGCGAAAUAUUUAUUUUUUAAAAAAACAGUGAUAGAAAAGGGGGUUAAGACCUCUUUUGAACUCAGAUACUUCAAUAUCAACAAUGAGGAAGAGGAUGAUGAUGAUGACAAGGAAUAAGUUCGUCUCCCCGUUGUUUCGUUUUUGCUGUAAAGUAAUAAACGAUGACCAUUAUAUUUGUACAAUUGUUACUGCAUUAAACUUGACACCAUUCCUUGACGCAUACUUUCAGGGUUAUUUUUACAUUAAAAAAUUGUCAGUAUUAAGAUUAUUUGUAUGGAACUUUAGUAGGCUGUGUACGAAGGGAAUUUUAAUUUUGCAUUAAGAAGAUUCCAGGUUAUGAAGGAACUUGGUCUAAGCAUUUGCUAGUAAGAUGUCGGAUCCAUUCAUGUGGUUGCAUGUUUCGAUUUGACCAAUAAUUCGUAUCAUACAUGAAGGCUGGGAAGACAGUGAAAGUGAAGUAAAUGCAUUCUGCGUAAAGCAAUCGACCUUCAAUACAACUGUUUUCAAAUUGCAAGUAAAAUAUAAUUAAGUGAAACUAAGCUAAUUUUCUAGAUCUCGAGUAAUAUUUUGUAAAUAUUUAUCUAAACUCAAAAUUGAAAGCCAGACAACAAGUAAUGGAAUGUCAUGUAUAUUUCUCAAUUUACAAAAAUUUCAUCACUUGAAUCAUAACAAAGAUCUUUAUCGACGAUUCAAAUCUAAAUCUUCCAUGAAGGAAGUUAAGUUCAGCCGAAUCUUUUUACUGCCUUGACUUACGUAUUGAAGAAGAUUCAUCAUCUGCCUAGGAGUAUAUUCCUUCAACAAAGGCAUAAACAAAAUUAUUAGCUGCUGACGACGCGAAUUUCUUAAAUUAAUGACAACGAAUUUUCAGGUAAAUAAUAUGCCUUUAUGUAUGUUUCGACAAUAUGUGGGUCAGGAAGAGGUCUUAGACGUGUCAAGCUUUCCACUUUGACUUGAAAAUGCCUGAAGUCUAACUGCAUUAGUGCACGACCUUCGUUCGUGCAUUUUCUUACAGCGGAAAAUCUAAAGAAUUUCAAAUCAGAUACGGUCUUACAUAAAGGAGGCAGAAUCUGAGGGUAACAGACACAAAGGACACUCGAGUCGUAGUCACUGAGAACCUGCAAAAGAAAUAAGAAUUACAUCAUAGAUGGAAUAUGAUUUUGAUAGCUUUUUGUUUCAACAAGAUAUAUGAAGAUAUCUGAGGGAGCAAUUUUUGGAACAAUUGGACAACAGUCUAAACCAUGUUUCCACAGAGAAUUAGGAAUACAAUAUGGACAAUCACUGUUAAACAUUUGUAACUUUUCCAAAUAACGUGUUUUGGCCUCAAUACUAAGUCCACUGGCAUAAUUAGACAGUGACAUAGUUAAACACUAACACUAUAACGAACUAAUAUAUAAAGAAAACACAUCAGAACUUCAAAACAACCCCCUUUUCUAUCACUGUUU